AGAGAAAGUAUUGAAGCUGUCCUUUGGGGUCGACAAGCUACAGAUUUUCCAGCUGAACAAGUUAUUGAAGAAAGAAAAAGAACUCCAAUAAUUAUUCUACUCCUCGGAAUAACUUGCAAAUCACGUGAAGGUCAGUUGAAACUCCAAGGAAGCACCACAUGCCAGUGGCAUAUUAAUCCCAUUAUACCUGAAGCAAUUGCACUUCAAAACAGAUUCAAAGCAUAUCCACAUGAAGUAUCGUGGUUAAAUGCACCUACUACAAGCGCUGAAACCAUAACAACAUCCAUCAAUGAUCUUGCAGAUGUCACUAACCCACACAAAAUAUAUG
Long non-coding RNA from Phragmites australis (common reed), 328 nucleotides. RefSeq lists it as uncharacterized. The transcript is spliced from 3 exons. Lineage: Eukaryota; Viridiplantae; Streptophyta; Magnoliopsida; Poales; Poaceae. The record is from RefSeq and is a predicted model, not a curated record.